This 253-nucleotide ribosomal RNA is filed under the name uncultured bacterium. RNAcentral describes it as "partial 16S ribosomal RNA". It matches the Rfam family "Bacterial small subunit ribosomal RNA", at positions 524 to 776 of the family's 1533-position model. The record is from RNAcentral.
UACGGAGGGUGCGAGCGUUGUCCGGAAUCACUGGGCGUAAAGGGCGCGUAGGCGGUCUGCUAAGCGUGUGGUGAAAGCUCGGGGCUCAACCCCGAGUCUGCCAUGCGAACUGGUGGACUUGAGCACUGUAGAGGCAGGUGGAAUUCCGGGUGUAGCGGUGGAAUGCGUAGAGAUCCGGAAGAACACCAGUGGCGAAGGCGAGUCUCUGGACAUUUCCUGACGCUGAGGCACGAAAGCCAGGGGAGCAAACGGG